Molecule: long non-coding RNA, 580 nt
Organism: Saccostrea cuccullata (small rock oyster)
Lineage: Eukaryota; Metazoa; Mollusca; Bivalvia; Ostreida; Ostreidae
Exons: 3
Source: RefSeq, a predicted model, not a curated record
UCAAUUCAGUACAUAUAGCCCCUAAAUAUAGGGGUGUUUACACUAUGUUUACAUUAUACUAUACGCUGCUACUACGAUUCACAACGCUGCUACUACGAUUUUGGCAGCGAUUCAAGUUUGUUUAGGGCCUUGUGCAAAAAAUAUGCUUACCUAUGCAUUGUGACGUCAUACACUUGUAAAAUUAAAGUUUCAUUUUCACUUUUGUUUCUAAGAAGUGAACUUACAUUUUCAGAAAAUGUAGGACUAUCUUUUGUUUUUCCUCUUUUACUAUGAUGAUUUUCCUGCUGUGAAGCUUUUCUUGUUUAAAGCUCCGUUUCUCUAUGACCACGGAAGUAAACAUCCUGAUGCAUUUUUGUCAUGUGAAUGUUAAGAGCGGGUUUAUUUUUGAAAUCUCCUUUCUGACAGAAAUAUUCCACAGGAUCAGCUGAGAUGUUAUUUCACUGGAUUAUUUAAUGGAUAGACUUAUUGGGCAUAUAGUUGGAUAUCUCUGGAUCAACUGAGAUGUUAUUUCACUGGAUUAUUUAAUGGAUAGGCUUAUUGGGCAUAUAGUUGGAUAUCUCUGGUAAGUUUGUCUUGUUUU